GACGAACGCUGGCGGCGUGCUUAACACAUGCAAGUCGAACGGAAAGGCCCCUUUGGGGGUCCUCGAGUGGCGAACGGGUGAGUAACACGUGAGUAACCUGCCCUUGACUUCGGGAUAACUUCAGGAAACUGGGGCUAAUACCGGAUAGGAAUCCUUGCUGCAUGGUGGGGGUUGGAAAGCUUCGGCGGUUUUGGAUGGACUCGCGGCUUAUCAGCUUGUUGGUGGGGUAGUGGCUUACCAAGGCUUUGACGGGUAGCCGGCCUGAGAGGGCGACCGGCCACAUUGGGACUGAGAUACGGCCCAGACUCCUACGGGAGGCAGCAGUGGGGAAUAUUGCACAAGGGGUGGAAGCCUGAUGCAGCAACGCCGCGUGCGGGAUGACGGCCUUCGGGUUGUAAACCGCUUUCAGCAGGGGCGAAGCUUGUGGUGACGGUACCUGCAGAAGAAGCACCGGCUAACUACGUG
RNAcentral lists this ribosomal RNA (465 nucleotides) under uncultured bacterium. Its description in RNAcentral is "partial 16S ribosomal RNA". It matches the Rfam family "Bacterial small subunit ribosomal RNA", at positions 28 to 507 of the family's 1533-position model. The record is from RNAcentral.